Non-coding RNA from Acanthosepion pharaonis, 105 nucleotides. NCBI's taxonomy places the organism in Eukaryota, Metazoa, Mollusca, Cephalopoda, Sepiida, Sepiidae. The record is from the annotation of a GenBank genome assembly.
UUACGGCCACAUCACGUUGAAACACCGGUUCCUGUAUGAUCACCGAAGUUAAGAAACGUUGAGCCUGCUCAGUACCUAGGUGGGGGACCACUUGGGAAGACCAAG